UGCGAUGAUGAAUCCACUAGACUAGAGUCUCUGACCCCAGUGACGAUAUUCGCAGCGCCCUGAGCA
RNAcentral lists this small nucleolar RNA (66 nucleotides) under Gopherus agassizii (Agassiz's desert tortoise). RNAcentral describes it as "Small nucleolar RNA SNORD52 (ENSGAGG00000001787.1)". Lineage: Eukaryota; Metazoa; Chordata; Testudines; Testudinidae. The record is from RNAcentral.